UCCUACGGGGAGCAGCAGUGGGGAAUAUUGGACAAUGGGGGGAACCCUGAUCCAGCCAUGCCGCGUGUGUGAAGAAGGCCUUUUGGUUGUAAAGCACUUUAAGCGAGGAGGAGGCUACUGGUAUUAAUACUACCGGAUAGUGGACGUUACUCGCAGAAUAAGCACCGGCUAACUCUGUGCCAGCAGCCGCGGUAAUACAGAGGGUGCGAGCGUUAAUCGGAUUUACUGGGCGUAAAGCGUGCGUAGGCGGCUUUUUAAGUCGGAUGUGAAAUCCCUGAGCUUAACUUAGGAAUUGCAUUCGAUACUGGGAGGCUAGAGUAUGGGAGAGGAUGGUAGAAUUCCAGGUGUAGCGGUGAAAUGCGUAGAGAUCUGGAGGAAUACCGAUGGCGAAGGCAGCCAUCUGGCCUAAUACUGACGCUGAGGUACGAAAGCAUGGGGAGCAAACAGGAUUAGAUACCCUGGUAGUCCAUGCCGUAAACGAUGUCUACUAGCCGUUGGGGCCUUUGAGGCUUUAGUGGCGCAGCUAACGCGAUAAGUAGACCGCCUGGGGAGUACGCACG
RNAcentral lists this ribosomal RNA (560 nucleotides) under Acinetobacter sp. BN26. RNAcentral's name for it is "bacterial SSU rRNA". It matches the Rfam family "Bacterial small subunit ribosomal RNA", at positions 337 to 888 of the family's 1533-position model. Lineage: Bacteria; Pseudomonadati; Pseudomonadota; Gammaproteobacteria; Moraxellales; Moraxellaceae. The record is from RNAcentral.